AUAUGAAAGGGAUACAUGCCCAUAGUUUGGGAGGCGGGGGGAGUUAAAUCAGCAAAAGAGUGUAAUAGGAAUUUUUUUUAAUUUUUAAAAAUUUUUGGCUACCCAUGACAUAUGGAGUUCCUGGGCUAGGGAUCAGAUCUGAGACACAGUCGUGACCUCCACCGAAGCUGCAGCAACACCAAAUCCUUUAACCCACUGUGCUGGGCCAGGGAUCCUGCAUCCUGGCGCAGCAGAGAUGCUGCCAAUCCCACCGCACCACAGUGAGAACUCCUAAGAGGAAUUAUAUUCAAAAUAUUUUACGACUGUGCAAAAGGGCACAGACCCAUCAGAACAGAUUCCAGCCACUGUACUGAGUAGGACCCACUGAACAGCAGUCUGGAUACAGGACAAAAGAGUUUGAAUGUCCAACGCCGUGGACUCCCACCUGCACUCCGCAGAUAUCGGCUGUCAAUUUCUUAGGACUUGCUCCAGAAAUGUUUUAUGCCUCUACCAGCAUAAAAAAAACCUCAAUCAGCAAAAGGUAUAGCAGGAAUUUUUACUGGCACAUCUCUGUGCCUGGGCAUCCUUUUUUGGAGAGAGCUCUGUUUCUGAAGACACUAUUCUGGUCUGAGGCACACUUUUUUCUUUUAACAAUGUAUCUAAGACAUCAUUCUACAUCUGUACACACAGCUACCUCUUUUUUCUUAAGCUUUAGCGAUGCUACUCAAAGUGUGUUCCUGGUCUGAGAAAACAUGACGGAGAGCUUGCAGCAGAAUGCAAAUCAACUAUGUCUCUAAAUACACACUUUCCUUCGGGUGAUAUAUUUGUAUAUUUCUGUCAGUGGGAUUUUCUCCUAAGUCAAUGAUUUGCAUUCUGACUCCAGUUCCUCAUCUCCCAACAGACCAGUAACACACAGGAGAAGGUCUACUUUAAGCGCUACCAUAGAGCAGCUGUAGUGUAAGAACACCAUGAGUUUUCUGACCAGUCCCCCUGUGACUGGCACUUGGGAUCAUAUAAGCAAUCGUACGUCUUACGUAUCUGAGAGAGUGUUUCUACAGCAGAGAUUCCUAGGAGUGGAAUCAAGGGCUGUGCAAUCAAUGAGAUAGCUGACUGGGAUGGUGCUAGUGGUUAGAAGUGAACCCCAGAGAAAACUAGUCCCUCUCUUGCUUUUCAAGGAGGAGAAAAACAAAACCAGAAAGGAAAAGCACGCUCCCAAGCGGCAGAAGUAGGAAACGCCCCGACUCCUCUGAAAGGCAGUGGCUAUCACCAGACACGAGGCCUUAGAAGCUGAGCUAAGGGGAUGGGUGGUGAACACACCCUGCAGAGUGAUGCUCUGAUUUCAGUAUAAUGUGUGACAAUUAAGGGUGUCACAGGGUCACGCUGUGGUCUGAUCCGCAGGAAAUCCAGGUCUCGUUUUCGUGGGUGUUGCUAGGCCUCUUAGGAGACUGGUGAGGGCGACUUUGAAGCACACGCCUUGGCCUGUGCGAAGCCAUCUGUGGAGGGAGGAAGGGAGAGGUUGCACUGGACCAGGACAUCCUGCGAGGGCGGAUAAUUUUCCUGGCGUUCAGUGACAGUGGAUCCUGGUCAGAGGAAGAAAAGGAACACCGAAACGGAAUUAGAGGCAAACGAAGGGUUAAUGGGGGCAGAGAACAGCUGUGUGAGACCCUGUGAGACCCGCGGAGGAAAUGACCACAGGUUCAGAAAGCGGAAAAGAGCCGAGGUGUCUUGGAAGCCGAAAGAGCAGAGUUCCCAGAGGGAAUACGGAGACGGCUGGGCCAAAUGCCGGAGGGCGUCAAGUGAGAUGAAGACUUUAAAAUCACUGUUGGGUUUGCCCACUGGCGACCUUGCUCAGAGUCACUUCAGUAAAUCAGGGACAGCAGGUUCUAGACUGCAGUGGCUUAGGGAGGGAUGGGAAGAGAGACGAUGGGGCCCUUGCGUGUGGAUGUUUGGGGGACAGGCUGACUGAUGCGGAGGGAGGGAGAGGGAUGGGGAGGCAGCAGCUGGGGGAACCUGGGAGCCUGUCCUAGAAGACCUUGACUCCACUUCUGCAUCUGCACAGGCAGUUUACUCACUGCCAAGAAGAGUAGUAGCUGCAGAGAAAGUGGGGUCCCCUGGGGAUUCGUAUAAAUUAUGCACCAUAACAGAACUCUGGGCCCCAGUCUGUAAGACAGUAUGCAUGGGGUGUGAUAAUAACAAUAGUCACCACUUAUUGAGAGCUUAUUUAUGCAAAGCUAAGAGCUUUACAUAAAUUACCUCCUCUAAUCCUCACAACGCUGUGAGGUAGGCCUUAUUAUUCUCUUCCACUUGAAAGUGAGGAACCCUGAGACUGAGAGCUUAAUUCGCCAGCUCAGGUCAUCUAGCCAAUCAACCACCAUGUGGGGAUUCAAACUCAGGUUCAUCCUCUGCUCCUAACCAUUAAGCCAGGGUCCCUCACACUGGACCCUAGAGAACCACAGGUAUGCGGGUCACCUGGGGAGCAUGUGAAACGUACAAAAAAUCCCCAGGUUCCACUGAAGAUCUACUGACUCCAAACCUAUGAAAGCGGAGCCCAGGGUCUAUGCUUCUGUCAAACUCCCCCACCGUUCUUCUGCUCACAGAAGUCUUAUCUGAAGAACUUUACCUCUUUGCUGUUUGAUUUGCCCAUCACUUGCCAUCACCCGCGUUAGGAUUUACACUCUCCACUCAGGGUAAAGGUCGCCUGGGCUGCUUAUCUGAGAUAAAAUAACUUCCCAGGCCCCAACAGAAGAUUGAGAAAUACUGUUCUGUGAAAUAAUGCCAUCUGCAGCAACACCAAUGCAACGAGAGAUUCCCAUACUAAGUGAAGUAAGUCAGAAAGAGAAACACAAAUACCGUAUGACAACACUUAGAUCUGGAAUCUAAUAUACGGCACAAAUGAACCCAUCUACAAAACAGAAACAGACUCACAGACCUAGAGGACAAACUUGCGCUUCCAGGGGGUGGGCGGGAGGAGUGGGAUGGACUGGAAGUUUGGGGUUAGUAGAGGUGAACUAUUACAUUUCGAAUGGAUAAGCAAUGAGGUCCUGCUGUACAGCACAGGGAACUACAGCCAGUCUCUUGGGAUAGAUGAUGAUGGAAAAUAAUAUAAGAAAGGGAAUGUAUAUAUAUGUAUAAUUGGGUCACUUUGCUGUACAGCAGAAAUUGGCACAUUGUAAAUCAACUGCACUUUAAUUAAAAAAAAAAAAAGAAAUACUAUUCUGUUUUUGCAGCUGAAAGUAUCGUAAGCACUACCCUAGGCUCUAAUUUAGGUUCUAUUUUUUAUUUAUUUAUUUUUGUCUUUUUAGAGCCACACCCCACAUGGAGGUUCCCAGGCUAGGGGUUCAAUCGGAGCUGAAGCCACCAGUCUACACCACAGCCACAGCAACGCGGGAUCCGAGCUGCAUCUGCAACCUACACUACAAUUCACAGCAAUGUCGGAUCCUUAACCCACUGAGCAAGUCCAGGGAUCGAACCUGCAUCCUCAUGGAUGCUAGUCGGGUUCACUAACUGCUGAGCCAUGAUGGGAACUCCUUUUUUUAUUUUAUUUAUUUAAUUAUUUUUGUCUUUUUGUAAUUUAGGUUCUAAUAAUCAUUCUAAGAUUCAUUUUCCUCAUCUGUAAAAUGGGCAUAAAUAUGCUUGCCUUGUAGAGCUAUGGUGAAGAUGAGAUACUGUACCAAUUAGAAUUAGAUUUACCUGCUUAUAAUGCAAACAAAGUAAUAAGGGCUUAAACAAAAGAGUUUAUUCUUCUCUCAGGUUAAAGCUGGAGCUAGGCAAUCCAGAACUGUCAUGAGGUUUCUAAUCUGCCGUUUCAUUAUUAACAUAUUGCCUCUUGGCACAAAACGGCUGCUGAGGCUGCAGCCAUUUUGCCUGCAGUCCUGGUAGAGAGAAGGGAAGAAAGGAUGCACUUCCCAGUCAAGUCAGAUGCCCGUAAGGAGCAUUUCUGUCAGGGCUUUCUAACACUCCUGUUUAUGUUGCAUAACCAGGAGUCAUGCAAUAUAGUCAUCAAGCCACACCUAGAUGCAAGGAAGGCUGGGAACUAAAAUCUUUUCAUUCAUAAUCAGGUCUUUGCGCCCCCCCCAAAUAAAUCAGGUUUCUGAUGCAUAAAAAGAAAGAAGAAUUAAGUAUUUGUGUGGCAGCCACAAAAACAUUCUUCCGCACACUUCCUACUGCAGGGAGUUGAGGACACCAGCUGCUGUGCUUUGAAAUC
This 4183-nucleotide long non-coding RNA is filed under the name Sus scrofa (pig). Its description in RNAcentral is "lncRNA (ENSSSCG00000053138.1)". Lineage: Eukaryota; Metazoa; Chordata; Mammalia; Artiodactyla; Suidae. The record is from RNAcentral.